AAAGCUUUAGCUUAAUUAAAGUAUCUGUUUUGCAUGCAGAAGAUGUGAGUUAAAAGCUCGCAAGUUUUA
This 69-nucleotide transfer RNA is filed under the name Kopua minima. Its description in RNAcentral is "Aspasma minima tRNA-Ala". It matches the Rfam family "tRNA". Rfam says of the family: Transfer RNA (tRNA) molecules are approximately 80 nucleotides in length. Lineage: Eukaryota; Metazoa; Chordata; Actinopteri; Blenniiformes; Gobiesocidae. The record is from RNAcentral.